Molecule: long non-coding RNA, 3282 nt
Filed under: Eutrema salsugineum
Lineage: Eukaryota; Viridiplantae; Streptophyta; Magnoliopsida; Brassicales; Brassicaceae
Description: long non-coding RNA (ESAL_LNC001137)
Source: RNAcentral
CAGAUUAUACAUUCUUUGGUUGCUUAUGUCUUUACACAACCAACUUCAUCUUCAACAACAGAUUGAGAAAGGAAACUCUUGGCCAAAGACUAUGUCUAUUUAAACUUUCGCUCUGCCCAUUACGUUCUUUAAUUUUCUUGAGUCUAAAAGGAACUCAUGGAUCUCUUUUAAGAGUUGUAGAUGAAAUUGUUCAAAGACCACUUGGAUCUCCUGGUACUAACUAAAGACGUUUUCCUAAACAUGCAUUACUAAAUCAAUAUCUCAAGAAGACGUUUAGUCGAUCUUUGAAGUAGAGUUCUACAAUAGGGAGGAGUUAUAGACGGUCAAGAAGACCCAAAAGGUCCAAAGCAAGCUUUUUAGUCCUUUAUCAUAUUCUUUUGUUUUAAUCGUCAUCUUCGUUUCAUUAUCUACCAAAAAAGAUUGCUACGUGGUCGUUAUAUUCGUUUUUGUUGUUAAUUGUUGAUGCUUCUGCCUUCUGUUCAUGUGAUCGUUGAAACUUGACAAUAGGUUUCCGAAAAUGGCAGUGUUGUAGAGAACUAAACGGUUAAAAACCCCAAGGUUUGGGAGAGUUCAUGAGUUAACUUGUAAGUUUUGUCUUAUACAACGGAACGGCAGGUUAAAAGACACGUUUUGAUCGCGGAUAUAAAUGUUGCAUUGGUUUUCCAAUUUUGGUGAACUUAUCUAAUGGACAUAUAUAGGUUCAUGGAGUUUGUUCAAAAACAAAAGACAUAGGUUCAUGGAGUAAUAUGGAAGAACCGAACAUCGUUAACUAUCAUGUUAUCUCGAUUAAUAAUUUUUCCACCUAUUGAUCUAGCCUCAUUGAUUUUUUUGACAUGGAUUACAGUUACAAAAACAUUUUUAGAUAUAUUUAAUUAAUACUGCAUGUCAUGAACACUUAUAACAUUGAUGAAAUCAGAAAAUUUUCGUAACUCUUAGUUUAAUAUGGAUGUUACAAUUAUAGUGAAGGAGAGGAAGAUAACAAGAAAGACAUGACAAUGCCAUUGAAUAUUUUGGGCUUUUCCGUGUGGGGAAUAUGUGAUGUCUUUUGUAUCACUUUCAGCGUCGCCUUCUUCCCCAACAUCCUGGUAAAAUAUAUACAUACAUAAUUAAUUACUUCUUUUUCUUUAUUUUUAACCUAUAUAAACACACACGACUAUGAAUAACUCAUUUCUAUAUUCGUUCCAAAUUAGUUCUUAAUCUCGUCUCUUGAUGUCUCUAGCAUAGAAGUUAGCUAUCCGAUUACGUAACUUUACGUUAGAUCAAAAUUCGGACAGAAAUAUCGACUAGAAAAUGAUGUAAUUAACCAUUCGAUUCGAUUGAAACAUCUAUUUCCAUAUUUUUUAAAUGAUAUCAAAACCUUAAAAAUCCAAUUAAAUAAGCUUAUAAAACACAACUUAAAAACUAGAAUCAAAGUUUUGUUUACUGGAAUCAGCUGUGCUCGUAGUUACAAAAAAGAAGUAAAUCUUAAAAUUUGAAUAGCAAAAAUGUUUAAGCAAAACCACUUUAAAAGUUCUAUAUCAUAAGUUCAUAACCACAUAAUUUCAUAUUUACCAAGCAAAAAAACGAACUGGAUCAUAUAGUUGUACGUAAUUGCUUGGAUUAUUCCAUUCAAACGGAUUUUACAUCUUGGAUCUACUAAUUAAGCGUAGUGACGCCACUAGCGGUAAUAUCUUAAAACCAUUUGGAACUCGAUCAAAAAUAUUAAUUUGAGUAAUUAAGAAAUUAAAAGAAAUGAAGCAAUGAAAAAUCAAAACCCUAUGCUAUUUAUAUAUUAUGAUACGAUAUAUAUAUAUAUAUAUAUAUAUAUAUAUGAAUUAUGAAGUAGUAGGGUCUUACUCUUUAAGGUCAUAGGCCAUUUUCAAAGGAAAAACCUGAUCUUGCUCCCCCCAUAUCAGCAUUACAUCCUGCAUGAUUCAUGCUUACUUCAUUAUUUAUCAGGUAUUUAAUUUUUAUGAAUCAAAUAAAUUAAAAAUUUCUUAUUGUGUCACUUAUUAAUGCAAGUUCUUAUCAUGCAGUUUUUUUUUCGUAGUCACUUAUUCAUUAAAAAAACUACCCCAAAAAACACAAACUAAUCAUAUUGUUAACAUUCGAGGGCAACUGAGGUCUGAAUUAUGACAAACGUUGGUUUCUACAUUCCCGCUUACAUGUGAAGAAAACACAAAUUCAUAAAUAUCUUUGAAAAAUGCAAAUGUAAAUGUAAAUGUUCGCAAAUAUAAAGAUUCCGCACGUUUGCAUUUGGCGUUUACAUUACGAAUUAACAAAAACAAAUUUUUAAAAAAAGUUGUUGCACAUUUUAACAAAAUAUACACUAACUAUAAAUUUAAACGCAAACAAACAAUCUAAUUCUGAAACGAUUGAAUUUUUUUUUUACAUAUGUUAGUAAGAUGUCAUAAAUUCUUAGCCAUAUAUACAAGUAAUAUUAAUGAUAGCGUAAAAACCAAAAAAUACUAAUAAUGGUGAUAGCGAUUAGCGAACCUGUUGAACUGGAGAAACGUUUGAUUUUUCGUCCCUCCCAAUACUUAGCCCCUCCAGAAGUUCUGCUUUUUCCUCUCUCUUCUCCGAAUACAUUUUCUGUGUGUUUUCCCAAUUUUCAAAUAUCAUAUUAUCAAUCAUGCAAAGCCAAACUCUUCUUUUCAAUAGCGAUAUAAUAUUUAUUUAAUGUUGGGAGCGCAAUACUACGUAUACCGUUCUUUCUUUCCCCAAUCCUACACAAGCUUUUACUAUAACCAACUGAAAGUGACAACUUUCGCUGCCUUCUUUUAUCAAUCACUCAUUUUAAAUAUAAGCUAGUGGAGUGCAUCUUUAUGCUCCACUAUAUUUUCGUGUUAAUUUAUAAUAAGUUUUAAUAAGUGUGUUGUCAAUAUAUAUGUUUCCAAAAAGAAUGUAGCCCCCAAAGGAUCAUUAAUUGUAGAUUAUAUAUUCAUUGAAAUUGAAAUUCUAUGAUCAUUGUAGACGCUUUAAAUGGCAAUAAUACUUGGCGUUAGACUAGUUUGAGUAUCAGCAAUACGAUUCCCGUGAUUAACUUUAAAAAAAAAUAUCUUUCAAAAUGAUAAAGAGACACUUUUAUAAAAUAGGUGGAGACGUAAAGUAAUUAAUUACGAAUCUUUACUAAUAUUAUCCAUUACCUAAAGUAACGUUGUGCAUUCGGAUUUCGGAUGCAUAACUUAUAGGUUAUCAAAUAUUUUGAAACUUUGUUAUAAGACUAAAAAGAGGGUUUAAAACUGUUGAAGGGACUUUUUGUUUUUCUUCCAAGAAUACAAAAAAAAAAGAUGUAAAAAUACC